UUCAUAUUCACAAAUUAAGCAUUUAGUCUGGGUAAUAAAUCAGGGCGGUUUACGAGGUUUACACGAGACAAACAAGCAAGCAGGGCACAACACAAGCCCCUGGAAGCGGCGUGCGCGGAGCUGCCAGGAGUCGGGAGCCCCACGCGCUCGCACGCCGAAAGCAGCCCCGGCGCGCCCUGACACGCCGCCAGCACCCACACUUCGGCUGGUCCCCGAGCGGGCGGAGCGGAGAGGUGCAGGGGAGCAGCCCCAGCCUGAGCCCACACCCCUCCAACCUUCCGCACGAACCCGCGGCGCCCGGCGCGCCCCAGUUCUGGGCAACUCGGCGCCCCCGCCCCGCCAGGGAGGGGCCGCUGGCAUAGGCGACAGCCUCAACCGGUACACACCCUGCGGUGGGCCCAUUAAGCCGAGAAGCCGAGGAAACUGGAUGCCCCCUCCCCCACCUCUUCCAUCCGGCUGGGCUUGGCCUUAAAGAUCCCAGGCCCACAGUCGCAAGCAAUACGAAGGAUCCUCUCCACAUCCACGUGUGACCUCCACUGAGCCUGGGCGCUAGGCACCGCCCCCCCACCCCAAUCUCUCCGCGUUGCCUCCUCCCAGGUUUCGGUCCCAGCAGCCACAAAGCUACUUUCAGAUUCAGAAAGGGUGGGGGGGCGGGGGAAGGGCUCUCUUUUAGAGUGGAUCAAGGCUUAAGAGAGGCACGGGGAGGGGAGCAAAGGCACCAAAACAGGGCUCUGGGCCCCGCUGCAGAGACCCGCGUCCGGGCUUUAGUGACCACCCAAACUCAGGGGGCUUCAACCUGUGUGUUUCCCGCCCUCCCCCGUGCAUCAACGAGAAGUGGACCUGGACAGGGGGUCUCAGACCAGUACCAGCCUAGGACCUUGGGAGACUCUGAAGGGAAGAGCGGCUCCAGGUCACCCCGUCCGAGCCUUCGGCGCCGUGCCAUGCUCAAGUUCCCUAUCGAUUGGCGUUCUCAGCGCUAUCGUGGCGGCAGAGAGACGGAGGGCGGGAAAUCGGGAAGCCGGAACCUGCAGCCCACCCUGGACCUGAGAGGGGGGCAGGCGUGCUGGGAGGCCACCACCCUCAAUUGAAUUGACAUUCCAGCUUCCCCAUCGCAAAACCCCUACGGCAAAGCCCAUGCCCUGACUUUCCAACAACUGGGAAUCGAGUGGACUUCCCACAAGGAGGAACAGUGUCAUGUGAGAGGAGCUCCUCAGCCUCAAGUUCUCCGCUGCUCCCUUCCACUGCCUGCACAAUGGACCCAGCACGCCACUCCUACUGGGCCAGGAGAGCCUCUUACUCACUGAUCUCCCCUCCACUUCUCCCCACGCUGCCUGGGCAGCCCCGGGACAGAAGUCUCUGAGCUCACCUCUCCAACCUCGAAUGAAGCUGAGCGUUUUCUCCAGGCUGUUGACUCUGCGGCACGCUGGCUGUACACACACACACCACGAGUUGUUCUCGCCCUUCCUGGGGGCCUCCCUUCUCAUCUCCCUGCUGGGCGCCCUCGAAACCUGACUACUCAGCCUGAGUGCAGAGCCCUGGCAGAGUGGGGAGCCUGGAGGACCAAGGGGAGGUGGCCAAGGGAGAGAAGGAGAGGGCCCGUAAUGGAGGAGGGGCCCCGCAUGCCUGAGAGAAAAGAAGCCAGCCUGCAGCCACAGCCUGGAGGAGAGGGGGAGUAUAAAGGGAAAGCCAACACUAAUCCCUCAGCCUACCUACGUGGGGCCUGACAGUUUACAAAAGCCUUUUCCCUGAAUAUUAUCUCAUUCACUCCGGGCUAUAAGGAAGGUAGGGCAGAUAGCGUUACCCUCACUGACAGAGGAGAGAGAUGACGCCCAGAGAGGUUAAGAUAGGUCUGUACCAAGGUUGCAGAGCUAAGAGUGGUGGAGGAGCCCCCAGGCCUGGGGUUUCCUGCUCCCAAGUUCACGUUCCUGUUCAAUAGCUCUGUGUGUGUGAGUCUGGGUGACUAUCUGUGUGGAGGGGAAGGUGGGGGGUGGCUGGACAGGAAUGAGCAGUCCAGUGAGGGAAGUCCAGGAAGGAAGGACAUAGCCUCAUACCUCUUCCUCUACUCAGGUCUCAGCCAGCAGCCUCCUGCUCUUUCCGUAGCAGCCUGUGAGCCGGCCCCCAACUCGCCUGCCCAGGGGUGAGCUGUCUGUGGCUCCAGCAGUGGCUAUUCCAGAGGGCUUAUAUCUUUGGGAGGCCCCGCUCUGCUUGUCUGCUCGGCUCUCCUCUCUGCCUGUCAUCCCCACCCCCAGCCUCGGCUGCAGGAUGCCUUGCGUCCAACUGUGGUUUCCGGGCAAUAAAACAACUAUUAAAGUCUCA
This is a long non-coding RNA of Bos indicus x Bos taurus (hybrid cattle), 2316 nucleotides long. NCBI's taxonomy places the organism in Eukaryota, Metazoa, Chordata, Mammalia, Artiodactyla, Bovidae. The record is from Ensembl.